This 6694-nucleotide long non-coding RNA is filed under the name Sorghum bicolor (sorghum). Its description in RNAcentral is "long non-coding RNA (SBIC_LNC001751)". Lineage: Eukaryota; Viridiplantae; Streptophyta; Magnoliopsida; Poales; Poaceae. The record is from RNAcentral.
AUGCUGGUGGUGGUCAGCCAAACUAUCAGCCCCAAAUGCCAAACCCACAGGCGGGCUACAACCCUGGUGGUGCUCCUCACUACCAGCAAGGUGGUGCUCCUGGCUACCAAGGUGGACCUCCGGGGUAUCAAGGUGGUAACCAAGGUUACCAAGGGAACCCAGGCCCGGCCUACCAAGGUGGUAACCCUGGCUACCAAGGUGGCCCACCUGGUUACCCUGGUGGCAACCCACCACCUCCACCUCCCUACCAAGGAGGCAACCCCAAUGCACCGCCAUACCCUGGUGGUGGCAAUCCUGGCUACCCUGGUGGCAGCCCAGGCUACCAAGGUCAAGGAGGCAACUCGAACUUCCAAUGAACAUGACCACGCCUAAGUAUAAGUAGGCACCCCUGUUCCAGAGUAGCCUUCUGGGAGAGAUGGUGUGCAGUAGCAUAAAUCGAACCCUUGUUGCUAUCUGAUUUUCAUGCACUGUCGCUGUAUGCACCUAAUUAUUAUGUUCUAUAUAGUACUCAACUGUGCUUGGUGUCUGAGUGAUGCACCCGGAAUUCUGAAACUAUGGAUGAUGUACCAUCAGCUCUUCUGCUCUUGAAUUCCCUUGCUGAGCCAUAUGCUCAGCAGUUGUCGGCUUUGUCUGUCUUUGUUCGUUUUGAAUGAUUUUUUACCCACAAACUUGUUACAGCUCAUCCUGCUAAAUUCAUGUGAUAUUUUUUCCUGCAUUUUACAUUGAACGGUCCGCACGUUCAUUUCAUGCUCGUAUACUUGAGACACGAGACUUGAACGGGCGUCAUCGUUAAACCACAGGACGCUUCAUCUUUCGAAAAACCUAAAAUACACGAGGACGUGAUGCACGAACCUCGACCAUCUCUGUCUACUGACCAAAACCACUUUUUCAAUGUUGUAAAAAACCACUUUUUCAAAAACUGUUUAAAGCUUAUUAAUAUUUGGCGUGAUCACUGCCUGGCGCCCAAAAGGCCCAAUCAGCCACCGUAUGUAUAGAGUACCCAAUAAGAGCAUUUUUAGCGGAAGUUGCAUCUGCUACCAAAGGUUUUAUGAAAAGAGAAAAAAACAAGUUUUAUUGGAAUUGAACUCUUUAACUCAGUUUUUAACUAUGAGACAUAAAAUUAAUGUCUACGAAACAAUAAAAUAAAACUAUAUAUUGAGGAUGAGUGUUCCAUAAACACAUUUUAUGUGAUGUGAUAGUUUUGAAAAAUAAUGAGAUGAAACUCUCUAUUAUGAAUGACAUAAUGCACACUAAAUAUACCAUGAUGCCAUGAAUCAUGAUGGUCACUAUCUCCCUCCGAUUUCACUAGCGCUACCAGUGAAAUGCAUUUUGUCAGCUAAGAUUCUUGGGUUCUAUUUGUUUAGUGGUUGGCCGUAACGAUUUAACUUGUGCCGGGACUACGACAGUUCAACGUUUUUUGAAUAACUUCCUAGAAUCAUUAAUGAAUAUAUGAGGGUUACACGAAUCACUUACUUAACACCACCAUGGUGUGAUGGCUCGGUGGCUAUGCGCUCUUUCACACAUAUCUCUAAUGCGCUCUUCAUAGAUACAUGAUCUGUUCAACAAAAGAAAAUCCUCUGGUGGCGGAGCUAAAAUUUGAAUAUAAAGGUGGUGUCGUGCGAACGAAUAACAAUCACACAUGAUGAAAUACAUAUAACAUAUAUAUACAUAACAACCAAAAAAAUAUUUUAUGUUAUAAUACAAAAAAACUAAAAACUAGAAAAAAAAAACAUAAAAUAUUUUAGUGUCAGCACCAAUUGGUUCUUUGCAGUUGAAAGCCUUUUUAACUGAUCAUUGAUGGAUAUUGGGGAAGAAAACUCGUCCUGUGGUCGUGGGAAGUUCCCGUGCAUAUGGUUGUGCAAUCGUGGCUUGAUCCACUGACAAGUGACAAGUACGGUUGGGAGCAUCUCCAAUAGUUUUGAAAAAACGACUUGGCAGUGUUUUAGCAACUCGGAAAAACAAAUGGCAAUUCAGAAUCUAGACAAUCUCCAAUAGUUUCGGAAAAACGACUUGGCAAAUUAAAAAUUAGAAGGACACCGCCACCUCCUACCCUUCUGCUGCCCUAUCCUUCUGCCGCUAUUCUCCUCCCUCAGCCAUGUGUUCAUUGGUAGUAGUACUUGUAGCUAUGUUUAUUGGCACUUGUAUGCUGCGUGUGUUUAUUGGCCAAGACUACCUGCUGCACUAGUGCAUAGGUCCUGUUUUUUUUGUCCGUACAGCUCUGGUGCACAGGUUCUGCUGCUGGCCGACAACGACUGGGGCAGUAGUACUGACAGCAUCAGAUCAUCAACCUGACACUAGCAGCAGCACGUAUGAGGUCGGAGGCGUGCGAGAGGGAUUCGGGCCGCGGGGAGUGUGAUGGGAAAGCGAGUACGCGCGUGGAUGGGAGUUUUCCAAGCUCCGAGAUUUAGAGCAUCUCCAACAAGUUAAAGCCACUUGGUAUUCUUAAAAUUUUAGCAAAAACUGAAAAACACUUCUCCAACAACUUUGUAAACUCACUUUGUAUAUUUCCAAACUGCGUAAAUCCGGCUUCCGCGCGCGGAACUAUACGCGCGCGACGGAGCUUUGUAUCCGCGAAAUUCUCCGUCGCCGCCUCCGCUCCCGCGCUCGCGCGUCGCCUCCCGCGCGCGCCAAACCAUCUCCCGCGCUAGAAAAGUGUUGCCCGGCCGGCAAAUCAACCUGAGUCGACAGCAUGCAGGCCGAUCAGAUGCACUGCUUUGUUGACAGCGACAGCAGCAAAUCAAUGAUUGACAGCAGUGCAGAACGAUCAAGCAACAGGCCAUUUUAUUUUUUUCAGUGCAGAACGAUCAAGCAACUGCUUUGUUGACAGCGACACCGUGAGUGUAGGGAUCGCCGGAGUACUGUAGCGACGUGCGUGAGCCCCGACUGCCUGCGUCGUGCGGAAGGAGGAGCGUCGUGUGCGCGGACGGACUCGCGUGCGGAAGGAGAAGGGUCGGCGCCAUGCGGGUGGAGGACAGGCCGCGUGAAGUUCUGGAGGUCGAUGGGCCAAUUGGGUUUUGGAGGUAGAUGGGCCAAGUUUUUCAAUUUUAGCAAGUGAGAAUACCAAAUUGUUGGAGACACAUCUUAUUUGCACUUGCUAAACAAAAUAGCAACUUGGUAUAACCCAAGAUAUACCAAGUGAAUUAUACAAACUUGUUGGAGAUGCUCUUAGAAAGUCACUUUUCCAAACUAUUGGAGGCCAAAUUUUUAUAUUUUGCCAAAAAUUAAAGGAUAGCAAUAUGGUUUAGGAAACUGUUGGAGAUGCUCUAAGAUGGGAUCAUCCUGUAUACUAAUACAUGACCAUCGCGCGGCGAGGCGGCCAGCAGGAGGUGGGGCCCAUCCCGCUCGGGACAGCGGGAGAAGCGAAGCCCUAGAAGGCCCACAUUUAACAUUCGAGAGCCCACGGCCCACAAGCCCAUGUACAGUACAGCCUCUCGACUCCGCCAGAUAAUUCGGCCCCUCAGCAACUAGGCCUUGUUUAGUUCACCCAAAAAGUAAAAACUUUUUUAAAAUUUUCUGUCACAUCGAAUUUUACUGUUCAUAUACGGAGUAUUAAAUAUAGAUAAAAACAAAAACUAAUUGUAUAGUUUAUAUGUAAAUCGCGAAACGAAUUUUGUAAGCCUAGUUAUUCUAUAAUUGGACAAUGUUUGUCAAAUAAAAACGAAAAUGCUACAAAUUUUUUCGCAUUUAAACAAGUCCUAAUCUGCCUCAUUUGCCGCAAUAAUAACACACCUCACCAGAUGCGGCUUAAACCCUUAUUAUUCGCCACCGCCGCGUCCUCUUGUCUCAUCUCCCUCCAGGCCAGGGUUUGGCACUUUGGCCUUCGCAAUGGCGUCGGCGUCGCGCGCGCUCCACCUCUCCCGUGCGCUCCAGGGCGGCCGCCGCAUCACCACCCUCCUGCGCCCGCUCGCUGCGACCGAGAGCCUCCUCCCGGCGGGGGCCGGUGCGUCCGCCCCCGGCGCCGGGUUGCGGUGCUUCGCGACCCAGCCGGCCACGUCCUCGCUGCGGGACUCCUCCCCGAACUGGAUCAAUACCCGCCCGUCCAAGGAGAUGAUCCUCCUCGACGGGUGCGACUUCGAGCACUGGCUCGUCGUCAUGGAGCCACCGCCUGGUGACCCCUCCAACCCCGACAUUCCGCGCGACGAGAUCAUCGAUAGCUAUAUCAAGACCCUCGCCCAAGUCGUAGGGAGGUAUAUAUGGCUGGAUCCAUUUCUCUGUUUAGUUGUUGUUGGUGUGUUUCCUGCUAGGAUACUUGUUGGUGUGUUUCUGCUAGGAUUGAUAAAAGUGUUCUGUUGUUGCGCAUGACCAUAACAGUGUAUAGUGUUUAAUUUAUUGGAAUUAGGACUGGCUGGAUAUGUUACUAAUUGUUCAGAAAUUCAGACUGAAUCUUUUGGUAUUAUUGGUUCUGGCAUGCGGCCUUUGUUGGGUUCAUGUUCAAUAUUCAUGUUGAAUGUAUAAAAAAGGACGGAAGUGAGAGUAUGCAGGCCAAUGCAUGCAUGCAGCAUGCGUAUCUUGGUAAUUUGAGUAGUAAUCCGGCGGAGUACUGAACAGGCCCCUAGACACACCAGCCCGCCGCCUAUUGUGGCCAAAUAAAUAAACCGCUUGUAUGCUGCCUAUAUAGGAACAUAGGGAGUACUAACUAUUAGAUGGAGAGUCCAAAUGGGGCUCGAUUAAUAGGUUAACUACUAGUCCCGCUAAAUAAAAAGCUACUAGCUGUCUUCCCUCUGCUAGCUGCUAACUAUUGGCGCCAAUGGAUCCAAAAAAGGGCCCAAGCCCCAAAAUGAUCCUCUGCUGUGAUAUUUUCAGAUUUGUUCUUUGAUAUGAUCCAGUUAUGGUUCUUUUGUGCGUCUAGCACAUUAGAGCUUUGGAGUGCUGAUAUAUUUCUGCAAGUUUUAGUUCAUAGAAUGCAGUUCUUUUUGCUCAUUUUUUCUCUACAACGCCUGCAUAAAAAAACAAACUCCUUGUUUCAGUGAGGAAGAAGCUAGGCAAAAGAUAUAUUCUGUAUCGACCCGUCAUUACUUUGCUUUUGGUGCCCUUGUACCAGAGGAAGUUUCUUACAAACUGAAAGGUAUUUAUAAUCUCAUUAAGUAAUAUAACAGUAAGAAGUAAUUCAUUUGUCCUUGGAUUGUAAUGCCACUUAAUUGUUUGCAGAGAUGCCCAAGGUUCGCUGGGUUCUUCCUGAUUCAUACUUGAAUGUGCAAACUAAGGACUAUGGAGGUACUGAUAACAUAGUUCCUAUCCAAGUAAUACUAUUGGAACCUUCUACUCAGAAUUGACCACUGAUACAUGGUAUAAACAUAGCCUUAAUGAAUUAACUGACUUGGUUUACUUAUUAAAAUACAAUUGAAAUUGAAAUACAAAAUCGAAAAAAUCAGACCUGUUAGCAUUCUAAGGUCAAAAGUAUAUAUUUGCAUUUUCAGGGUCAUGUACAAAAAUCCUUUUCAUUAUUCUCUAAUUGACUUUUUCACAUUCUCUUUGUUGUUUGUUGACACUGGUAUGUCGUUCUUGCUUGUUGUACUCAAUGUACAACAUCUGAUUUUAAAACUUGAGUAAUUUAAAUCUUCAUUAUUUUAUAUCAUACGUGAAUGUCUUAAUUGGUUUGCUAGUAGUGUCCAAACAACUGGUCUACAAAAUUUUGAUCCUCUACUUAAUUGACUCCCCUGUUUUUUUUUCUGCCCUGUGCCCUCUAAUUUUCUUCUUUAGGAUUGUGAUGUAAGGAUAUCACUGUCAUCAAGAAUAACAUAUAAUGAAGUGCUUUGUCAAAUCAUCUUUAUGCCGUCUUGAGAAACACCAAUUACACCAAUAUAUGUUUUAGAACCUAUAACUUGGGAUGGCAGUUCACCUCACAUGACACACCCAUUUUGUUUGAUCAACUAUGCAUGUAUAUGUAUUCAUAAGCUAUUUCAGAUUUUUUUUUUGAAUUGAAUUCAACUGAAAUGUUGGUGGCCAUAGUUUGUCCACCCAUGUUUGGACAACUGAUUCUGUGAAUUUCGUCAUACUUGUAUUGUUGAAAGUACAUUUCUGUGAAUGGGCACUAUUCAACAAAUUUUUGAUACCUUCUACUUCCUGUUUCAGGAGAACCCUUCGUAAAUGGGGAAGCUGUUCCUUAUGAUCCUAAAUUCCAUGAGGAGUGGGUGAGAAACAAUGCCCGUGCCAAUGAAAGAUCCCGGCGAAAUGAUAGGCCCCGCAAUUUUGACAGGUCAAGGAACUUUGAGAGGAGAAGGGGGAACAUGCAGAACUACCAGAACAGAGAUGGGCCUCUUGCGCAGGGUUUCAAUGGCCCCCCACCUCCACCUGGCCAGAACCAGAUGCCACCUCACCAUGGUCAGGACAACAUGCCGCCACCACCACCACCACCGCAUGCUGGUGGUGGUCAGCCAAACUAUGACUCCCAAAUGCCAAACCCACAGGCGGGCUACAACACUGGCGGUGCUCCUCACUACCAGCAAGGUGGUGCACCUGGCUACCAAGGUGGACCUCCGGGGUAUCAAGGUGGCAACCAAGGUUACCAUGGGAACCCAGGCGCGGCCUACCAAGGUGGCCCACCUGGUUACCCUGGUGGCAACCCAGCACCUCCCUACCCAAGGAGGUAACCCCAACGCACCGCCAUACCCGGGCGGUGGCAAUUCUGGCUACCCUGGUGGCGGCCGAGGCUACCAAGGUCAAUGAGGCAACUCAACUACCAAUGAGAAUGACC